Molecule: small nuclear RNA, 163 nt
Organism: Cebus imitator (Panamanian white-faced capuchin)
Lineage: Eukaryota; Metazoa; Chordata; Mammalia; Primates; Cebidae
Gene: U1
Rfam family: U1 spliceosomal RNA
About the family: U1 is a small nuclear RNA (snRNA) component of the spliceosome (involved in pre-mRNA splicing). Its 5' end forms complementary base pairs with the 5' splice junction, thus defining the 5' donor site of an intron. There are significant differences in sequence and secondary structure between metazoan and yeast U1 snRNAs, the latter being much longer (568 nucleotides as compared to 164 nucleotides in human).
Source: Ensembl
AUACUCAACAUGGCAGGGGAGAUACCACAAUCACAAAGGUGGUUUUCCCAGGGCAGGGCUUAUGCAUUGCACUCCACAUGUGCUCACUUCUGCGAUUUCCCCAUAUGUGGAAAAUUGGUUUGCACAAUUUGUGUAGUGAGGAACUGCAUUAGUACCUUCCUUU